RNAcentral lists this long non-coding RNA (868 nucleotides) under Pan paniscus (pygmy chimpanzee). RNAcentral's name for it is "lncRNA (ENSPPAG00000044174.1)". Lineage: Eukaryota; Metazoa; Chordata; Mammalia; Primates; Hominidae. The record is from RNAcentral.
AAAAUAUGCAUAUUGUGUUCUUUCAAUCUCAUAUGACAAACGUAAUCUUCUACCAAGUUGGGUGGCAUUAACUUCCUUAAAUACACAUACCUUGUUUAGUUAGAAAGCAUAGAGAGGUUACAUCUAUUUCUGCUCCCCCUAGUGCUAUUCUGUCUUAAAUGACUUGGACUCCUUCCUCAUUUGGCUAUUAAGGAAGUUGAUUGGGCAACUCAUAAGUUUUAAUCAAAAAUCAUAAACAGAUAAAUGAGAUCCCUAUAAACUAGGGCAACCCACUCACAAUCUACAAUAUAGACAUGCUGCAUGUGCUUAUGUAAAGAGCGCUUUCAAAUCCAUGGUAAACAAAGUCCACGCUUGGCUAGCCCAGCUCAGAAAUACAGAAUCCAAUACUGCAGCAUAAAAUAAAGCUGUAUUUUUAACAUAAACUGAACUGUUUUUUACAGUUCUAAAUGCAUAAAUGUACCUUACGGCAACAAUAUCUUUCCAAGGAAGAAUUUCCAGAUUGAAGUUGAAGUUGUUCAUACUUAUAUUUUCAUUUCUAAAAAUGCUCUGGUGAUGGUCUAUACAACUUGCCACAACCUUUGUGAAUAUUCACAAUUAAUUAUUUUAUUUACAAACACGUUUUUUCAUACUUCAUGUUAAGAAGUCUUUAUCUCUUCAUCCUAGGCACAGGAGGAAGAAGAGAAUACAAAUAACUGAUCAGAGGAAUAAAAAGUCUCUGCUUACUCUGAAGGGUCCAGUACAAAAAGAAUGUAACAGGAAGCAUGUGACGUCUUACAUUUGGUUCCACAAAAGCUUGGCCAUGUACCUCCUAUCGCCACAGGGCAUUGCCUUGAAGAGGCUCCAUUCCAGUGAGACACACCUGGGUUGA